AUGGACGUGCCAUCCGACUGGACCUGCCCCGUCUGCGGGCAAGCUCGGGAGGACGUGGCCUACGUGACCCCCUGCCAACACCGGCUCUGCUACGGCUGCGCCGUCUGGUGGGCCGAGAAGAAGCCGAGCUGUGCCGUGUGCGGGCACAAAAUCAUCGGCAUCCGCUACUCGGUGCGGGCGGACGACGAUUAUCUCGAGUGCUCCGUCCCGCAGCCCGCGGGACACUCAGACGGCGGCCCGCAGGACGAGCAGGGGCCUGCAGAGCCGGUGCUCAUCGCAGCCGAGCACGACUUCCCAGCCGAGGUCUGGGCCGCGUUUUUCGACCGGCAUCCCGAGGACCUCGCACCCCUGCUGCACUGGCUGCAGCAAGAGAUCCGGGAAAUGUCGAGCGACGACUGGUGGGAAGUGCAGGCGGGGCUGUGGGCCACCGUCAGCCUCCUCUGCCAGCACGGGCUCGACCGGGCGGCCUUGGUGCGGGAGCUGCAGCCCAUCACCGACGGCGACGCGACGCCCUUCGUACGGCGCCUCGUCGGCGUCGCCGCAGCCCUGUACGGCCCCCGGAUCCGCCGCCAGCCGGACCGGCGGGACCCUGCAGCCGGCCCCAGCGUCGGCGCCUCCCGCCGGGACCCUCCCGCCUCCGGCGCCGAGGAGCCGCUCGGCAGCUCCGCCGGGGGACCCGGGCACCCCGGCGCCGCCGCCGCGGCGGAGGAGCCGCGGGAAGAGCCGGGGCGGGCGGCGGCAGCGGGCCCUUCCGCCCGGAGCGGAGAGCGCUCGUGUGGGGGCCCCGGCGCGCCCCGAAGAGGAAGACCCGCAGCGGCCCCCAGGAUUCGCCCCCGCCCCGCAAGAGGCGGCCCCGACGGCGGCGCUAGGCCGGCAUCCGCUGCCAGCAGAGCAGCCUCCGCUGCUGGGGGCCGACAUCUGCCUCCCGGCCUGCUGCUGGGAGAGACAAUAAAAGCACGUCAAACGAAAAGAAAAGGCUCCGCGUUCUUGACGAGGCUGCCGGCGCUGCCGGCCCUACCCGUGCCGCUUUCUCCCCUUCUGGUCCCGUGGCAGCUGUAG
This 1059-nucleotide long non-coding RNA is filed under the name Phasianus colchicus (ring-necked pheasant). Its description in RNAcentral is "lncRNA (ENSPCLG00000019302.1)". Lineage: Eukaryota; Metazoa; Chordata; Aves; Galliformes; Phasianidae. The record is from RNAcentral.